GACGAACGCUGGCGGCGUGCUUAACACAUGCAAGUCGAACGGAAAGGCUCUGCUGUUGUGGGGUGCACGAGUGGCGAACGGGUGAGUAACACGUGAGUAACCUGCCCUAGCCUUUGGGAUAACUUCAGGAAACUGGGGCUAAUAACGGCUAGGAGCUCCUGCUGCUUGGUGGGGGUUGGAAAGUUUCGGCGGUUGGGGAUGGAAUCGCGGCUUAUCAGCUUGUUGGUGGGGUAGUGGCUUACCAAGGCUUUGACGGGUAGCCGGCCUGAGAGGGUGACCGGCCACAGUGGGACUGGGAUACGGCCCAGACGCCUACGGGAGGCAGCGGUGGGGAAUAUUGCACAAUGGGCGGAAGCCGGAUGCAGCAACUCCGCGUGCGGGAUGACGGCCUUCGGGGUGUAACCCGCUUUCGCCUGUGACGAAGCGUGAGUGACGGUAAUGUGUAAAGAAGCACCGGCUAACUACGUG
RNAcentral lists this ribosomal RNA (468 nucleotides) under uncultured bacterium. RNAcentral's name for it is "partial 16S ribosomal RNA". It matches the Rfam family "Bacterial small subunit ribosomal RNA", at positions 28 to 507 of the family's 1533-position model. The record is from RNAcentral.